CACAGGUGCUGCAUGGCUGUCGUCAGCUCGUGUCGUGAGAUGUCGGUUAAGUCCGCUAACGAGCGCAACCCUCGCUGUGUGUUAUAUGUGUCGACACGGGACUGCCGGUCUUAAGCCGGAGGAAGGUGGGGAUGAUGUCAAGUCAGCAUGGCCUUUAUAUCCUGGGCUACACACACGCUACAAUGGCCAACACAAUAGGUUGCUAAGCCGCGAGGUGGCGCCAAUCCAUAAAGUUGGUCUCAGUUCAGAUUGUAGGCUGCAACCCGCCUGCAUGAAGAUGGAGUUGCUAGUAACCGCAGGUCAGCUAUACUGCGGUGAAUACGUUCCCGGGGCUU
This 335-nucleotide ribosomal RNA is filed under the name uncultured Leptolinea sp. Its description in RNAcentral is "bacterial SSU rRNA". It matches the Rfam family "Bacterial small subunit ribosomal RNA", at positions 1033 to 1382 of the family's 1533-position model. The record is from RNAcentral. Lineage: Bacteria; Bacillati; Chloroflexota; Anaerolineae; Anaerolineales; Anaerolineaceae.